GAUGAACGCUGGCGGCGUGCCUAAUACAUGCAAGUCGAGCGAACAGACGAGGAGCUUGCUCCUCUGACGUUAGCGGCGGACGGGUGAGUAACACGUGGAUAACCUACCUAUAAGACUGGGAUAACUUCGGGAAACCGGAGCUAAUACCGGAUAAUAUAUUGAACCGCAUGGUUCAAUAGUGAAAGACGGUUUUGCUGUCACUUAUAGAUGGAUCCGCGCCGCAUUAGCUAGUUGGUAAGGUAACGGCUUACCAAGGCAACGAUGCGUAGCCGACCUGAGAGGGUGAUCGGCCACACUGGAACUGAGACACGGUCCAGACUCCUACGGGAGGCAGCAGUAGGGAAUCUCCGCAAUGGGCGAAAGCCUGACGGAGCAACGCCGCGUGAGUGAUGAAGGUCUUCGGAUCGUAAAACUCUGUUAUUAGGGAAGAACAAAUGUGUAAGUAACUAUGCACGUCUUGACGGUACCUAAUCAGAAAGCCACGGCUAACUACGUG
This 496-nucleotide ribosomal RNA is filed under the name uncultured bacterium. RNAcentral's name for it is "partial 16S ribosomal RNA". It matches the Rfam family "Bacterial small subunit ribosomal RNA", at positions 28 to 507 of the family's 1533-position model. The record is from RNAcentral.